GGGAUUGUGGCUCUGCGUAGAGCGCUUACCUUGCACGUAUGAAGCGCUGGGUUCGAUCCUCAGCACCA
RNAcentral lists this transfer RNA (68 nucleotides) under Ictidomys tridecemlineatus (thirteen-lined ground squirrel). Its description in RNAcentral is "Spermophilus tridecemlineatus (thirteen-lined ground squirrel) tRNA". It matches the Rfam family "tRNA". From Rfam's summary of the family: Transfer RNA (tRNA) molecules are approximately 80 nucleotides in length. The record is from Rfam by way of RNAcentral. Lineage: Eukaryota; Metazoa; Chordata; Mammalia; Rodentia; Sciuridae.